UUUAGAGGAAGUAAAAGUCGUAACAAGGUUUCCGUAGGUGAACCUGCGGAAGGAUCAUUAGUGAAUCUUCAAAGUCGGCUCGUCGGAUUGUGCUGGUGGAGACACAAGUGCACGUCUUGCGAGUCGCAAAUCCCACACACCUGUGCAUCUAUGACUCUGAGUGCCGCUUUGCAUGGCCUUUGAUUGGGCCUGGCGCUCGAGUACUUUUACACACUCUCGAAUGUAAUGGAAUGUCUUGUUGUGCGUAAUGUACAAAUCAAAACAACUUUCAACAACGGAUCUCUUGGCUCUCGCAUCGAUGAAGAACGCAGCGAAAUGCGAUAAGUAAUGUGAAUUGCAGAAUUCAGUGAAUCAUCGAAUCUUUGAACGCACCUUGCACCCUUUGGUAUUCCGAAGGGUACACCCGUUUGAGUGUCAUUGUAAUCUCACUACGAUCGACUUUUUGUCUUUCCGUAUGUGGACUUGGAUGCUGUCGUGAUAUUCACGACUCGUCUGAAAUGCCUGAGUGUACCCCGCUUUGCGGCGUAUUCGGUGUGAUACAUCUUCACCGGAGUUGAUCCUUUUGGGUCGCGUCUGUAAUGGUGUGGCUCUAUGCUUCGAACCGUCUCCAGGAGACAACCUCUGACAAUUUGACCUCAAAUCGGGUGGGACUACCCGCUGAACUUAAGCAUAUCAAUAAGCGGAGGAAAAGAAACUAACAAGGAUUCCCCUAGUAACGGCGAGUGAAGAGGGAAAAGCUCAAAUUUUGAAUCUGGUGUCUUUGACUCCCGAGUUGUAAUCUAGAGAAGUGUUUUCCGUGUCGGACCGUGCACAAGUUCCCUGGAACGGGGCAUCAUAGAGGGUGAGAAUCCCGUAUAUGGCAUGGACUGCCGAUGCUUUUGUGAUACACUCUCAACGAGUCGAGUUGUUUGGGAAUGCAGCUCAAAAUGGGUGGUAAAUUCCAUCUAAAGCUAAAUAUUGGCGAGAGACCGAUAGCGAACAAGUACCGUGAGGGAAAGAUGAAAAGCACUUUGGAAAGAGAGUGAAACAGUACGUGAAAUUGUUGAAAGGGAAGCGUUUGAAGUCAGUCGUGUCUGCCAGGAUUCAGCCGGGCUUUUGCCAGGUGUACUUCUCGCCGGACGGGUCAGCAUCAAUUUCGACCGGGGGAAAAAGACGUGCGGAAUGUGGCUGUCUUCGGGCAGUGUUAUAGCCGUGCGUUGUAUGCCUCGGUUGGGAUUGAGGAACGCAGCGCGCCUCAUGGCCAGGGGCUUGCCUCUUGAUACGCGCUUAGGAUGCUGGCAUAAUGGCUUUAAGCGACCCGUCUUG
RNAcentral lists this ribosomal RNA (1305 nucleotides) under uncultured Sebacina. Its description in RNAcentral is "eukaryotic LSU rRNA". The stretch from base 631 to 1305 matches the Rfam family "Eukaryotic large subunit ribosomal RNA", at positions 1 to 656 of the family's 3401-position model. Lineage: Eukaryota; Fungi; Basidiomycota; Agaricomycetes; Sebacinales; Sebacinaceae. The record is from RNAcentral.